RNAcentral lists this long non-coding RNA (250 nucleotides) under Prunus dulcis (almond). RNAcentral describes it as "sRNA ncRNA". Lineage: Eukaryota; Viridiplantae; Streptophyta; Magnoliopsida; Rosales; Rosaceae. The record is from RNAcentral.
AUGCUAAGAAAAAUCAAUUUGUUUCAAAGUCCUUGGAUGUCCCUAAAGGCUUUGCAGUCUAUGUUGGGGAGAAUCAAAAGAAGCAUUUUAUGAUUCCGCUAUCAUAUACUUGAACCAAUCUUCUUUCCAGGAGUUGUUAAGUCCAGGGGAAGAUGAAUUUGCGUAUGAACAUCCUGUGGGUUGUAUCACAAUCCCUUGCAGUGAAGACACCUUCCUCUAUCUCACGAUCAUCUCUCGCCUUGGUGUAUGA